GGUGACACUCGACCGCGCGGACAGGUGCGUAACGCUCCCGGCGGCGGCUCCCGGGAGAGGCUGCGUCCUCACCUCACGCCGAUGGCACCGACACCCCAGCCUCUUCCGCCCGGUCGACAGAGCGAAGCCCCUACUACGCGCCAGGCAGUCUGCAGGGAGGCGGGGCGCACGGGUGAAGCGUCCAGCAAGGUGCCCUCCCAGCCAGCCUGAGGAUUCUCUCCGAGGGAGCCUCCCCGCUCUGGCCUCUGCUCUCUGAGGCUCAGAGAGGGCGAGGAAUUUUCCCUGGGUCACACGGCAAGGUCACGGCAGAAGCGGGGAAAGGGCCUGGCCGUCCUGACCCUCUCCCGGGGGCUCCUCUGGGCCCCCACCCAGGACAUCAGGCCGGUCACAGCCCCAGGGCCGGGAGUCCAGGCCGAAGUCGAGAGAGGGGUCAGUCGUGGAGCUGGUUCCCUUCUGCCUGCACCUCUUGGCCAAAUGGGGUGAGCAGAAGGGCUGAGCACUCGGGCUCCGCAGACAAGCUGCCGCUCGCCAGACAAGGACCCUGGGCAAGCGUGGAAUCUCUGCGUCACUGCUUCCAUGUCAGAAAGCCAGCAGCUGCCCCCCAGGGCUGGGAGAACCAGUUACAGUCCCGCAGCUGACUGCUUCCGGCGUCUGACAUCACAAGCGCUGACACCCGUUCAUGUAAGCGCUCCUACACGCAGCAGCGCAAUGACGGGCCUCAUUCUGAGAAGAGGAAACUGAGGCACCACAAGAGCAGGCGGCCGGACUGGGAGCUGGACCCGGCGGACGGCGUGGGCCACCCACUGGACCGUCUGGGCACGCGGGGCCCGAGUCCAAGCCAAGUGUCAGCAUCCAGUUGUCCGUCCUUCAGAUAAUAAUGCAAGGAUGCCCCAGUUCACUAAACACACAGAAAUCCUGACAGCUGGGUCUGAGAGAGGGAGGCCCAAGUACUGAGAUGGAAGAAAGGAGGCAGGGGCUGCUGCCUGGAGACCAGCAGGCUCCAAGCAAGGACGCAGCAGAGAUGAGCUGUUCAGUGAGAACAGUCAGGAGGCGAUCGUGGACCACGGGGCAAAGAGAACGGGCUCAAGUUGUUGCCCCGCUAACAAGAACAGACUUGGCCAGCAUGCUCCUUUCCCUUCACCUCUCCUGCUUUUCCCGCCUGAGAUGCAGACAUGAUGACUGGAGGCACAGCAGCCUUUGGGAGGCCAUGAGGACAAAUGCUGGGACUGGCCAAGGGGGAAGCUGCAAGAAACCUGACCUGCUGACGGUCUCCUUGGACUCGGCACCGCCCGCACCACGUACCCGUUACACGAGAGAAAAAAAGGAACGCCUUCGUGGGGUUCAGCCACACAAGUGUCAGGGUUCUGUCUUAUGCGGCCAAAUUCAAUCCCGAGCUGACACAGCAUAAAAUACUGCUGAACAAUUUCAUUAGAAAGUUACUCUCAAUUUAAUUCUUUUCAGCGCUUCUGAUUACAUCAAGAGAAAGUCUCAGGUCAGGGCUAGCACGUCUUGAACACCUCUGCACACUUGCUGUUUUCCCUUUUUAAUAAAGCGAUAGAAGGCCUUGGGCUCUGAGCCUCCCCUGAGCCCCAGCAUCCAACUAGAAUUUAAUAACAUUGUUUUGUUUCCAGUGAA
Molecule: long non-coding RNA, 1635 nt
Organism: Odocoileus virginianus texanus
Lineage: Eukaryota; Metazoa; Chordata; Mammalia; Artiodactyla; Cervidae
Source: RefSeq, a predicted model, not a curated record